AUUUUAGGAAACUUUUGUUAGUGCGCACCAAAAAGCCUUGGGCCAGGCAACGGUGUUUUGCGCGCAUGCAAAUUUUGGGACCCGGAGGUUAUAUAUGGGAGUGGGAUGAGUCGAAAGCAAAAAGAGACAAGAAGAGAAUUUGCAAGUGGCUUCGGCUGGUUUGUGAAUUACUUGGGCUGGAUCUUUGGGCUGGAGGCUGUAUAUAUAGGUAAGUUUGGCGAGGGGACUGUUGCUGGUCCCCAGGGCGCCAUUGGGUAAAGUCAUUGGGGAGAGAAAUUAGGGGGCUGGGUUCUCCAGUUCCUGAGGGCUCUCCCUAAGAUUUUGUCACUUUCCCUCACUCCCUCACCCCCCCUUCAGCGUACUCUAGGGUGCGCACUGCAGUAAAACCUUUUGGUGCUACUGUAUGGCCUCGCGAUUUAUCGCCCAAGUCUCGGGAUGACAACGUCUCCCCGAGCAAGGAAAGAAACAGUGGAUUACUAGGCAAUGCCAAAGAAAUCCCAAACUCCAAGAUCACUCGGAUCUUUUUUUAUCACUACGAGUCAGUGGACAACCCCAAAAAAAUAACUUCUUC
This 571-nucleotide unclassified non-coding RNA is filed under the name Metschnikowia sp. UWOPS00-154.1. RNAcentral's name for it is "partial external transcribed spacer". The record is from RNAcentral. Lineage: Eukaryota; Fungi; Ascomycota; Pichiomycetes; Serinales; Metschnikowiaceae.